RNAcentral lists this ribosomal RNA (442 nucleotides) under uncultured Prevotella sp. RNAcentral's name for it is "bacterial SSU rRNA". It matches the Rfam family "Bacterial small subunit ribosomal RNA", at positions 355 to 794 of the family's 1533-position model. Lineage: Bacteria; Pseudomonadati; Bacteroidota; Bacteroidia; Bacteroidales; Prevotellaceae. The record is from RNAcentral.
UGAGGAAUAUUGGUCAAUGGGCGAGAGCCUGAACCAGCCAAGUAGCGUGCAGGACGACGGCCCUAUGGGUUGUAAACUGCUUUUAUAAGGGAAUAAAGUGAGUCUCGUGAGGCUUUUUGCAUGUACCUUAUGAAUAAGGACCGGCUAAUUCCGUGCCAGCAGCCGCGGUAAUACGGAAGGUCCGGGCGUUAUCCGGAUUUAUUGGGUUUAAAGGGAGCGUAGGCCGGAGAUUAAGCGUGUUGUGAAAUGUAGGCGCCCAACGUCUGCACCGCAGCGCGAACUGGUGCCCUUGAGUACGCACGACGUUGGCGGAAUUCGCCGUGUAGCGGUGAAAUGCUUAGAUAUGGCGAAGAACUCCGAUUGCGAAGGCAGCUGACGGGAGCGCUACUGACGCUCAUGCUCGAAAGCGCGGGUAUCGAACAGGAUUAGAUACCCUGGUAGU